RNAcentral lists this microRNA precursor (56 nucleotides) under Heligmosomoides polygyrus. RNAcentral's name for it is "microRNA hpo-mir-37 precursor". Its record names the gene hpo-mir-37. Lineage: Eukaryota; Metazoa; Nematoda; Chromadorea; Rhabditida; Heligmosomidae. The record is from miRBase by way of RNAcentral.
GGUGGGUGAUGCCGGGGUGAAGCCUUCGUGGACUUCACCGGGUAUUCACUCAUCCA